This 515-nucleotide ribosomal RNA is filed under the name uncultured bacterium. RNAcentral's name for it is "partial 16S ribosomal RNA". It matches the Rfam family "Bacterial small subunit ribosomal RNA", at positions 28 to 523 of the family's 1533-position model. The record is from RNAcentral.
GAUGAACGCUGGCGGCGUACCUAAUACAUGCAAGUCGAGCGAAUGGAUUGAGAGCUUGCUCUUAUGAAGUUAGCGGCGGACGGGUGAGUAACACGUGGGUAACCUGCCCAUAAGACUGGGAUAACUCCGGGAAACCGGGGCUAAUACCGGAUAACAUUUUGAACCGCAUGGUUUGAAAUUGAACGGCGGCUUCGGCUGUCACUUAUGGAUGGACCCGCGUCGCAUUAGCUAGUUGGUGAGGUAACGGCUCACCAAGGCAACGAUGCGUAGCCGACCUGAGAGGGUGAGCGGCCACACUGGGACUGAGACACGGCACAGGCGCCUACGGGAGGCAGCAGUAGGGAAUCUUCCGCAAUGGACGAAAGUCUGACGGAGCAACGCCGCGUGAGUGAUGAAGGCUUUCGGGUCGUAAAACUCUGUUGUUAGGGAAGAACAAGUGCUAGUUGAAUAAGCUGGCACCUUGACGGUACCUAACCAGAAAGCCACGGCUAACUACGUGCCAGCAGCCGCAGUAA